GAUCAUGGCUCAGAUUGAACGCUGGCGGCAGGCCUAACACAUGCAAGUCGAGCGGGUUUCGGACCUAGCGGCGGACGGGUGAGUAAUGCGUAGGAAGCUACCCGAUAGAGGGGGAUACCAGUUGGAAACGACUGUUAAUACCGCAUAAUGUCUACGGACCAAAGUGUGGGACCUUCGGGCCACAUGCUAUCGGAUGCGCCUACGUGGGAUUAGCUAGUUGGUGGGGUAAUGGCUCACCAAGGCGACGAUCCCUAGCUGGUUUGAGAGGAUGAUCAGCCACACUGGAACUGAGACACGGUCCAGACUCCUACGGGAGGCAGCAGUGGGGAAUAUUGGACAAUGGGCGCAAGCCUGAUCCAGCCAUGCCGCGUGUGUGAAGAAGGCCUUCGGGUUGUAAAGCACUUUCAGCGAGGAGGAAGGGUUGUGUGUUAAUAGCCACAUAGCCUUGACGUUACUCGCAGAAGAAGCACCGGCUAACUACGUG
Molecule: ribosomal RNA, 484 nt
Filed under: uncultured bacterium
Lineage: Bacteria
Description: bacterial SSU rRNA
Rfam family: Bacterial small subunit ribosomal RNA
Source: RNAcentral